This 241-nucleotide unclassified non-coding RNA is filed under the name Hevea brasiliensis (rubber tree). The record is from RNAcentral. Lineage: Eukaryota; Viridiplantae; Streptophyta; Magnoliopsida; Malpighiales; Euphorbiaceae.
GGCGAUGUUACUGGCAUGUAAGCUUUAUUUUUGGCCCCAAUUUCGAAUUCUACAACCUAAAUUUUGGAUUGUUUCAGUCUUGUCAGCCAUUUUUGAUCGCCACAUUGCUUUAGGAAGAUUGAAGAGUUAUGCCUCUUGAGUCUAGAUUUCUGUUUGCAUGUUCAAUAGCUAAUGGUAGAGAAAUUAGAAAAUGCAAAUCACUCGAGGAGAAUUCGUAGGUACGAAGCUGUUGAACUGCGUG